GGGGUCUCAUGUCCCUCACAGUAUGGAAGCCGCGGCCUCGUUCCACUCCCGCCCACAGAUUCUUCUCUGAUUUCAAAGGACAGCAUGACCACCAAACUCCUGAACUGGAAAUUCCCAUGGUCAGUGGAGAAAAAAUCUAGCAGCUGAUGCAUGAGGACCCACAGCCUGGCAAGUUCUCUUUGUAUCCUAUCAUGUGAAUAGAAGCCAAGGAAGGUUGUUUGGUUUGGAUUUCACAUGGUGACUGACCAGCCCAGGGGAGCCAACAAAAAACUGCCUUGCUCUGUGCAUCUAGCGGACGGCAUCUCCAAGAGGCUAGCUGUCUCAGUCACUAGUUGUCCAUGUGAACAAAUUGCCACCCACGCCAUUACAUGAGAAUUGCC
Lutra lutra (Eurasian river otter) is the source of this 380-nucleotide long non-coding RNA. RefSeq lists it as uncharacterized. Lineage: Eukaryota; Metazoa; Chordata; Mammalia; Carnivora; Mustelidae. The record is from RefSeq and is a predicted model, not a curated record. The transcript has 4 exons.